This 1118-nucleotide long non-coding RNA is filed under the name Nicotiana tabacum (common tobacco). Its description in RNAcentral is "long non-coding RNA (NTAB_LNC014723)". The record is from RNAcentral. Lineage: Eukaryota; Viridiplantae; Streptophyta; Magnoliopsida; Solanales; Solanaceae.
UUGUACUCCUUACAAAUUUGAACAAUUUAAAAGAUGUCAACAUAGGAUUACACUAAGAUCAUGCUGCAUCUAGUGCAGAAACUGAGUAACAUCAAUUAAAAAAAAUUGCCCAAAACAACAAAGAUCUCAUAAAACUUAUAUUAAACAAGAUAAAUGUUCACCUUUGCAAAUCCGAAUCUAUCUUUUCCAGUGUUAGGAAUGUCAGGAAUGUUAGCAUCCAUCUUGCGGUGACAUAAAACAUAUCAGGAAGGGAUAAAAAAGAGCAAUACAUUUAUAAUAUCAUAACUAUAGCUGACAAAGAUCCUUAAUAAUUUGACAACUCUAGUCCAUAGAGUGUCUCAAGAAAAUAAAGCUAAUUUGUUAAGAAUUUAUUUUUACAGUAUCACUAUUGUAGUACUCGGAAAGGCCUUGUGGAAAUGGAUAAGCUAAUUUACUUUCUUCUAACAGAUGAGGAGACAAGUAAAAUCUAACAUCAUUGAUUUUAAAUGGUAAAAAUAAUAUAUGAUCAAGAAUUUUUCAUACACUCUAAGGUUACAAUAAUUCUUUAACAAUAGUUACUAGUAUAAUAUACAAAGAAUCUCACGAAUGGAUAAGCUAAUUUGCUUUCUUCAACCAAGGAGGAGCUAAUCAAAUAUAAAAUCAUUAACUAAAACGAGUAAAACUAGAUGUGAUAAAGAAUUUUUAUACAUUCUGAUGUUGCCAAAAUUCUUAUACAAUACAUAUAACUCACAACAUCUACACCAAUUUUAACAGCAUUAUUGGGGCAUCCAAUUAUAAAAAGGUAUACCAAUUCUCUUUAAUAACAACAAACUGAACCUUUCAAAUUUUUAAAAAUUUGAUGUAAAAUAUUCAAGGCUAAAUGAUGUCUCAAAACAUAACUCCAGGCCUAUAGACAAGUUGGUGAGAAAAAUUAGUCUAACUGAAAUGUAACAAUAAAUUUAACAAAACCAAACAAUUAAACUCAAUUGACCUUAUGGAAGUAUUCAACGUCUGCAAAUUCUUUAAUAAAACCAAAAGCAACUAAAGAGAAAAGAGGAAAAUUUGAUUAACUAUUAGCUUACUUUUAGAAGGAGUGAAAAUUGAAAUAGGCCUCACGAACAAUAGAUUGAACAAUGCCA